This 116-nucleotide non-coding RNA is filed under the name Blastococcus sp. RNAcentral describes it as "SAM-IV sequence". It matches the Rfam family "SAM (S-adenosyl methionine) riboswitch aptamer". Rfam says of the family: SAM-IV is a mRNA element that regulates gene expression via direct sensing of S-adenosylmethionine (SAM or AdoMet). SAM-IV riboswitches share conserved nucleotide positions with the previously described SAM-I riboswitches sequence analysis and molecular recognition experiments suggest that SAM-I and SAM-IV riboswitches share similar ligand binding sites, but have different scaffolds. Lineage: Bacteria; Bacillati; Actinomycetota; Actinomycetes; Geodermatophilales; Geodermatophilaceae. The record is from RNAcentral. RNAcentral also lists the same sequence under 1 other name.
GCUCACGAGAGGCAGCGACAAGCACCUGGCUGGCUGCCCGGCAACCUCUACUCCGUCUGAGGUGCUCCAGGGGAAGAGCCGGCUGGGCGACGGCCGUCGCCCGGCAAGGACGGAGU